Molecule: ribosomal RNA, 393 nt
Filed under: Triticum aestivum (bread wheat)
Lineage: Eukaryota; Viridiplantae; Streptophyta; Magnoliopsida; Poales; Poaceae
Description: partial small subunit ribosomal RNA
Source: RNAcentral
AUGUGGGGAGGCGGCGAGUUAGUAGCAGUAGGUGGCAAAGUGGCUUUGUUAUCUAUUCCAUUAGGAACCGCAUAUUUUUUAGUCCAUCACAUUCAUGCAUUUACCAUACAUGUGACUGUAUUAAUACUUUUGAAAGGUGUUUUAUUUGCUCGGAGUUCCCGUUUGAUACCCGAUAAAGCAAAUCUAGGUUUUCGCUUUCCUUGCGAUGGGCCUGGCCGAGGGGGAACAUGUCAAGUAUCCGCCUGGGAUCAUGUUUCCUUAGGUUUAUUCUGGAUGUACAAUGCAAUUUCGAUAGUCAUUUUCCAUUUCAGUUGGAAAAUGCAGUCGGAUGUUUGGGGUACUAUAAGUGAUCAAGGGGUGGUAACUCAUAUUACAGGGGGAAACUUUGCAUAG